Molecule: small RNA, 139 nt
Filed under: Aspergillus ustus
Lineage: Eukaryota; Fungi; Ascomycota; Eurotiomycetes; Eurotiales; Aspergillaceae
Description: A. fumigatus sRNA Afu_254
Rfam family: A. fumigatus sRNA Afu_254
Source: Rfam by way of RNAcentral
CUCCAAAGCCUACUUCCAAAACAACCGGUUCUAAACCAAACCAACCACCAACCAACACUCAAGAUGUCUCCCUGCUCCUGCAACUGCUGCUCCGGUGACUGCAACUCCUGCGAUUGCGGCACCUGCAGCGUAAGUUCUC